Molecule: ribosomal RNA, 292 nt
Filed under: uncultured bacterium
Lineage: Bacteria
Description: partial 16S ribosomal RNA
Source: RNAcentral
GGACUACUAGGGUAUCUAAUCCCGUUCGCUCCCCUGGCUGUCGCUUCUCAGUGUCAGGGGCGCCCCAGGGGGCCGCCUUCGCCACGGGUGUUCCUCCUGAGCUCUACGCAUUUCACUGCUACACCAGGAAUUCCACCCCCCUCUGACGCCCUCUAGGUGCGCAGUAUUGGACGGCCGCCCCGGGUUAAGCCCGGGGGUUUCACGCCCAACUUACGCGCCCACCUACAAGCUCUUUACGCCCAAUGAAUCCGGAUAACGCUCGCCACCUACGUUUUACCGCGGCUGCUGGCAC